RNAcentral lists this ribosomal RNA (253 nucleotides) under uncultured bacterium. RNAcentral's name for it is "partial 16S ribosomal RNA". It matches the Rfam family "Bacterial small subunit ribosomal RNA", at positions 524 to 776 of the family's 1533-position model. The record is from RNAcentral.
UACGGAGGGGACUAGCGUUGUUCGGAAUUACUGGGCGUAAAGCGCACGUAGGCGGAUCGGAAAGUUGGGGGUGAAAUCCCGGGGCUCAACCCCGGAACUGCCUUUGAUACUGUUGGUCUGGAGUUCGAGAGAGGUGGGUGGAAUUCCGAGUGUAGAGGUGAAAUUCGUAGAUAUUCGGAGGAACACCAGUGGCGAAGGCGGCCCACUGGCUCGACACUGACGCUGAGGCGCGAAAGCGCGGGGAGCAAACAGG